Molecule: non-coding RNA, 6045 nt
Organism: Cinara cedri
Lineage: Eukaryota; Metazoa; Arthropoda; Insecta; Hemiptera; Aphididae
Source: the annotation of a GenBank genome assembly
UUUUUUCUCAUUUAUAAACUUUACUAAUAAUACAUAUUUUAUAUUUUUUUUUAUUUUUCGUUUAUUCUAGCUUUAGUUUUUAGAGGUAUCGUUUGAAUUAUUUGAAAUAUAUUUUUAAUAAUAAAUAAAAUAAAUAAUUUGGUUAAUAAAGUAGUUUUCAAUAUUGCAGGGCAUAUUUUAUAGAGAACAUUGUAUUAUAAUAAAUUGUAGACGUAUAGAAAUAAUAAUGAUUAACCGAGCUGUUGGUUAACGAAUGUGUAAUCUGAGGUACAUGGUUUCUGCUACCGAUCACAGGCCAAAAUUUGACCUUCCUGCACUAUGCAUCGAUACAACGGCACAACGCAAGCAGCAAGUUGCCAUUAUCCUCGGUUAUUUUUCCGAUUUUCGGUUGCUGCGUCUUCUGUUAUCGCACUACAACGAUCGCAAAAGUGUCCGUCAUUGCCGUCGUGUGGUCGCACAUCCGCCGUUGUAUUAUAACUGAAUCGUUUUUUGUCGUUACUUUGUGCGUAUUUACACGUAGCCGACUCAUUAUCAUAUUUUUGUUGUAUCAUGUGUGCUCCCGUUGCCGGUAUGUAGGACCGCCUGAUGUUGCGUAGCCGAUCAAACCCCGAAGUUACCUUAAUCUUGCAUAAUACCCUUUUCCUAUUACAGUCGCAGCCGGAAAUCUUCCGUUAACCCAUUGCCUACAGAAAUUCCGCGUGAACAUGGGCCAUAAUUUGUGUUAUUUUUCAACAGUACGUAACUGGGUCGGGUUAUUUUAGAUUUCGUGCCCAAUUAACGUUUAACUAUAAAACAAUAAUUUUAUUAAUUCUAAAAGAAAUUGUUGUACGUUUUCAAAUGUUUCUUAUCUGCCAAAAAAUUAUAUCUACAUUUGACCAAAUAAAAAUAAUAUUCUUUUAAAAAAUUCUUAAAACUGAACUACACGCAUUAAGCCUAUUCUAGUUUUCUGCUUUAUUUUGCCCUAAGUUUAUUUUAUAAUAUUAUAAUAUUCAUAUGAGGAUAUGAAGAUAUGUCAUAUUAUUUUUUUAUUCUAAAUGGAGUUCUUUUUUUUCUUCUAACCUAGCACUAGCAAUACCAGAACAAAGACGUAAUUUUGAUAAAAUACAAUUCUUUUGAUCUAGUAGUCCUCAACCAGAAUUGAAUUAAAGAUAUUUAUAAUGAAGAGUUUCACCUUAUCGUUCGAAGAUUCGAAUUGGUGGAUACUUUUCAAAUCUAUAGUAUAUUAUCCAUUUAACAGCAUCUCUUUAUAUUUUUUUAAAAAAUAAUUUUCGAAAUAAUUAAAUACACGUAGAGAUUAUACUUGUGCUCAUUUUAUUGGACCACCUAGUGGAUAUGUUUUCUUUAGCAAAAUAAAAAUUCAGAUAUUUAUCACGCUAAAUUGAACGUUUAGUAUAUUGUAGGCCAUAAUGUAAUGAUGAAUUAAACAAUAAAAAAUGUAAUAUUUUUGAAAUUGAAUUUUUUUUUUUUUAUAACUAUUUCCAGCAAUGUCAGGACCACAACGUAAGUUAUACAUUAAAUAUUUUUAUAUUCUAGCUAUUAACAUACUGUAUUGAGUAAUAGUUUAUUUAUUUUUAAGAAUAUCAAUUUAAAGAUCGACAAUUCUGAUUGCUGGACCUUUUUCAAUUCUUAUUUAUAUUAUUAAUAUAAUUUAUAUUAAUUUAUAUAAUUUAUACAUCCCUUUUAUUAUUCUAUAAACUUGUUCAUUUUCGUGCCUCAAUAUGUGACUAAUCAUGAUCCAUCGCCUUGUUCUGACGUUUUUUUUCUGGGUUUAUUUAUUUCACUGCUUAUGUUGGUGCUAUGUGCAAUCCAACUCAUUCGCAGCAUCCUUCCCUAACAUCACAUUUAUUAAUACCAUAGUAUUCAUAAAUACUGACAUCGCGGUUAUGAUUCUGGAUCCUAUUUUCAUGACGCAUCUGCCAUCAUGGUUGAUUUAACUGGCUAGGUAUUGAAUAUUGUCCACUUGUUCGAGCAGCCGAUUUCCUGCCUGGAUAUUAGUUCUACGUAUUCGGUCUAAUUUUAGGCACUCCGUUAUUUUCGGUUUUUUGCUAGUUGAUGAUCAAUUGAUUGUUUUAAGAGCAUCUUGACGUUUCUUCUUGUGCUUUUUCAAAAUCGUGUUCAUUUUAAUUAAAAUAUUAUGAGUCAAUUCCUAAAUUUGAUUUGGUCUUUGUAUAAUUUAUGUAUUAUUAUUCUAUUUUAGUAAUCAGAUCCUAUUACUUAUAAAGUAUAGAAUAAAUCCGUCUACGGUACCAUACCGAAAGCUUUAUCCAAAUCUAUAAAUGCUAUAAAUGUGCUAUAAUUUAUUUGUUUUUCUACCAAUAUUCUUAAGGUUAAGAUUGCCUCUCUAUUACCUUUGUUGUUCUAAACCCGAAGUGGUCGUUGUUUAAUACAUUUUCUACAAUGUUCUUAAUUCGAUUCCAUAUUUUCUUUACUAAGAUUUUAGCUGCAUAUAUCUUUAAACUUAUUGUUCUUAAUUCAUUACAUUAUUUUUAAGUAUAGGUAUUAAAAUAUUUUUUUGGCUUGAAAUCUUCUGGUAACUCUCUGGUGUAUAUAUCAUUCACUAAUUUAAAUAGCUCAUCUUGUAAUUCUGUACUUGCAUUUUAAAUAAGUUCCAUUUAUAUCUCGUCUAUACCGGUUGCCUUACCUAUGUUCAUUAACUUUAAAGUUUAAAGAAUUAUACUAUUAUCUACUUUUGAUUGUCAAACGGCGACCUUUAUUAAACAUUCCCCAGUUAGAUGGAGUAUUAGUUAAUGUAUAUUUAUAACCAGUUGACGAGAUAUUCCACUUUUAAGUAUUGGUUGGAAGAGAAAGGUGGCACAUUCUUAAAUCGCUGCUAUAUAAAUGUUUUUCUACUACUAUCCUUCUAUCCAAAACUUAAAACCUCAAGACCUAAAAAUUCUUAAGACACGUCUAUAAAAACCAAUUAUUGGCUACUUAGUAAAAAACAAUCUUUAUCUGGGUAAAAUUAGUUAGGCCAAUAACAAGAAAGCUCAGAUUGAAUAUCGUAUAAAAUAGACCAUCUUGUUCUACUUAUAUUUGUAAUAUUCAUUAAUUUAUCUACAUGUACUGUUAACAAUUAAUUAGUUCUUGUGGUCACAAUAGGUAACCUUCGGACGUCCAUUUUAAUUAAAUGAUCGACAACCACAAUAUUUAGUGGGGGAGCUGAAGUCCCCAUAUUUUCUGUAAUAAUAAUUGUUUAAUAUUGUACAAAUUUCCCUGGUUUUUCUACGUUUUUCCUAGUUUUCUUAUAAUUUUUCCCAGAUUUACACAUUGGUCGAAAAAACUCCGAAAAAAAAUCGAUUAACGACAUCUCUAAAGUAUCUCCUCUGUGAAAUUUCUUCUUAAAAAGAUUUUCUGAUAGAAAAGAUUAAAAAAAAUCAUAAUAUUAUACAAAUAUAAUUCUUUAAAAUACCCUGCUACACUGAUUUCCUUUCAGAAAAGGUACUACACGUAAAUCGGAGAAAGUCCUAUGAUAGAAAAGUUGUCCAAAGGAAAAAAAACAUCUUUGUAAUAGUUAAUAAAUUAAUUUGCAAGAGAGUGAUUGCCUGUCAAUAAUUUCUGAAGUUAUAUCCUGUUCGGAUCCUAUAUGAGAAGUAGAGGUAUUAUUUUCAAAAGUUUCUAAUUUUAUUUCAAGUAUAUCUUUUUUUCUCUCAGUAAUUCACUGUCCUCAGAUAAGUAAGAAAUAAUUUUAACCAUUUCCUCAAAUGUCUUAUUUAGUUUAUUGAAAUUAUAUGUAGAGUUAAUAACAGUAGAUAUUAUUCUACUUUCAGACCCUUUUAGUUCCUUCGGAAAGAUUUUUUUGUAUCCAAAGCUAGUUGUAUUUACAAUGCCGUGAAAAGUAUUUAUAAAAUGUGUAACGAUAGGACAACCAACACGCACAACUGUCAGAAUGCAUUUUUUUAUCUUCUAACACAACAAAUUUAUUUAAUAUUGUAUCUAUUUUUAUUCUAGUUUUUCCCGUUUAUUGGAGAAUUUCCGGGAAAAUCAAAAAAUUACCCUCUUAAAGUAACACUCCAGUUCAAUUUUCUUUCAGAAAAAGCUCUAUCUGUAAAAACUGUACCAAAAUUGCUCGAAGAAAUUCUACAGAACAUAAACAUAAACAUAAUUGUGUUUUAAGCUCCGCUCAGAAUCUAAAAUUGCUAUUUUGAAAAUUUUAAUUAAAGAGAAACCCAGUUGGAAAAAAAUAUAUACGUUAUAUAACAUUCAUAUAACACUGUGGGACAUUCAGUAUACCUAUUAAAAGAUUACUUUGCGGUUGUUAGGUAUAAUGAACUCUAAAUAUUUAAUUACGGACAAGAAUAAACAUUUUAAAAGAAAAGACAAUAGUGGGGCGAGUGUGUCAUUUUUGUAGGUAGAAAGAUGAGAAGAUUGGAUCCAUAAAGUUGUUUAAUUUUUAUCCAUAUGAAACGAUAAACCAUUGCUUAUGUAAAACGAUCUGGGGUUAGGUGCGUAACAUAAAUUUUGAAAUACAGGAUUUUUUAUGAUUUCAACAUUUUUAUUAAAAAUAAAUUGUUAUCUAUAACUAGUCGUAUGAAGAAUGAAAAUAUUUUAAAACAAUGAAUUUUUUUUUUUAUUAUAUUCUUUGUUUAAUUAACAUAAUAAUAUGUAAACUAUAAAUUAGAGAAAAGAAUACCUACUAAUUAAUUAAUACUGUUUAUAAUAGAGGGACCUAAUCCAUAGGCAACAAACGUUUCGUAAACCGUGGUACAUAAAGCAAGUAUAUUUUAAUUAAAUUAUUUAAAAAAAACAAAAUACAAAAAGUUGUAGAGGUCUAAAUACAAACACAAUCAAAUUAAUCACAUUUCUUCGCUUUUUCUGCAACUACUGGCAACUGAUGAUUUUUUAAAACUAAAAUCUCUGAUAACCACACACAACAAUAUACAAUAUUUUAGGAUUUUUGUUGAUAUUUUAGAUUAUAUGUUUAGAUAAAAUAUUUGUGCUGUUUAGAUAAUAUUAUUGUAACCCUGAAAAUGUUAAAAUUAAUUAACAGUGGCGUAUAUAGGACAGGCGCAGAUCCAGGGGCAUUAGGGCCAUUCCCCCCCCCGGCUUUCUAAUUAUUGCGAUUAUUUAUUUAGAUACUUAACAAUUUUAUUUUGCAUGAAAACCUAUAUUGUUAUAAUAUUGAUAUACGGUAUGUAUCAGAUAGGAACGUGUACAAAUUUGAGAAAUCACCAUUAUUAGUCGAUGAACGGUUUAUGUACCUAUAAUAAAUAUUUGGGUCAUCAGAUAAUGAUAUAGCAUAGUAUUAUAAAAAUACACAUAUUGACUAUAGACGUAUAAGUCUAUACAGUCUGAACAUUUUUAUCGAGAAUCAUUUUUUCCGCGGUCAUUUUUGAUUUGACUAUGAUUACCUGAAGUAACCGGUAACCACUUAUUAUAUAUUAGGUGUGAUUGGGAUACAAGUUUUUGCUGGGGUGACUUCGGGAGGAGGGGGGUUAGGACUGUGGUUUCCCUAAGCCCAUAUUUUUGUUAAAAACAACUAUACAAAAGAAAAAUAAACUUAUAAAUAUGUUUUUAAAAGAGUUUUCUGAAAAAUAUAACUUCCUCCCUCCAACCAAGUCUCUAAAAGCCACCCCUGAUAUAGGAAGGGGCACAGUGAGCUAUAGACCCUCCGCGUGGGAGUUUUUUGAUCCUCUAUCACAGUGAAAAUUGUCUUAAAUAUUAUCUAUUUAAUUAAUUAAAUUUAUCAAGCCUCAAUUAUUGAAAUAUAUAUUUUAUUUUUUAAAAAGUUAUAUUUAAAGCUGUGAUAGAGGUACACACGCAAAACAAAAUGACCAAUUUGCUACCUAAUAUUUGUAGUAAUUACUAUUUUAUGUAUUACUGUGAAAUGUGAAAUACAUUUUAGCUGAAAUUAUUAGUAUACAAUUAGCAGUUACUGGAAUAUUAAAUUAAUUUUUUUUUUUUUACUCUAGUGCCACGCAAAACCCAAAGAUUCAAUUUCAAUAUAGCAAUGUUACAAUGUUAAAGUCUGAAAACAUAAACUCAAUGAACCAGUAUACACAUCGUAGCGUAGUAUAAUAUUUACUGUUUUCGCAUUCGAAUUUUAUU